UUUUGCUGUGCUUGACCAUUAUGGAGAGGUUCGUGGAGCUGUACAAAAUCAAGAGCGGCAUAGGAGGGCUAACUAGGCUCAUAAGAUGCUUCGGAGAUGAUAGCCCUACACAAAGGAAGAGGACAGAGGACCUCAUUUUCUAAAGGAAGAUCCCUCACACACUUUCAAGACUGUGAAGCCGACAGGUAUUGAAGACACGUUUUCUAAGAGGAUGAAAGUUGGCAUUGCGAUGGUGAAAGAAGAAGACAUCAUCGAUGUGUUGGUUGUCCUUGAGGCGGCAGUAAUCCUGUCUAAUCUGAGCGAUGUCUCAAGUGCCAUUUCCAUGCUGAUGGGCCUUCUUUUUGCCCUCAACAUAGACUAUCCAAAGGAACUUAAGGACAUCUUUGAAGUCAUUCAGAACAUCCUAAUGAACAUUGGUGGAAGGCAGUGCAUCUCACUAGUGCAUGGUCUAAGAAACAGACUCUUGGAGAAAGCCAUGCAGAACUGUAAUUGUAUGCUCCUUAGUGUUAAGGACAGUUUUUAUUUUACUGUUUGUUUUUUUUAUUCUUGGAAGUUCUCAUUCUCACUUUUGUAUGUCACUAAAUGACUACACUUUACAAAAUUCCAGAUUAGACAAUUACUCAUUUGUUCAUGGUUUAAGAAACUUAUGUGAACAACAAUAUAAUGGUGGACUUUGCAGAUGCUUAUCUCAUGCAAGUCAGUAGUUUUUCCUUUGUUUUGCAAUUGAGCAGACUCAAACUGAUGUUUCUGAAAUAUUCAUAUUAUCAAAUGUUUCAGAAGCAUGCACUCAUUUUCAGAGAUAUUGGUUCUGUGGAAUUUGUUGCAAUUGUAAACAAAGACAAAUACAAGAGUUUGAUGUCUUACUUGUUAUAAACUGAUCUUUACUGUCACUUAUCAAAGGUUUUGUACUAUUUUAAUAUUUCAAGUUUUAUGCUAACAGGUGUGACUGAGCACAAUGAAGUUUAAAAAUUUUGUAAAUGUAAAGAAUAACUUUUCUAAAAUAGCAAGUGUCCCAUUGAUACAUUACAUUAAUGCAGACUUUAUGUUGUUACUUCACAAGAAUCACUACUGCUCCGAGAGUAUUGGUCAGAAUUUAAUCUUCACCCAAACUGGGCUCAAGACCAAGUUCAAAUUUAUUGUUUCACAGGGAGCAGCCUUUGAGUUUUGAUGGAUUGUGAGCCUGAUGAGCUACGUCACUGAUUUUUCUGUUUCUCAGAUGACUAAGAUGGCACAAUAAAUGGUGAAUGUUGGG
This is a long non-coding RNA of Oreochromis aureus, 1252 nucleotides long. NCBI's taxonomy places the organism in Eukaryota, Metazoa, Chordata, Actinopteri, Cichliformes, Cichlidae. The record is from Ensembl.